RNAcentral lists this ribosomal RNA (468 nucleotides) under uncultured bacterium. RNAcentral's name for it is "partial 16S ribosomal RNA". It matches the Rfam family "Bacterial small subunit ribosomal RNA", at positions 28 to 507 of the family's 1533-position model. The record is from RNAcentral.
GACGAACGCUGGCGGCGUGCUUAACACAUGCAAGUCGAACGGAAAGGCCCUGCUUGUGUGGGGUGCUCGAGUGGCGAAGGGGUGAGUAACCCGUGAGUAACCUGCCCUUGACUUUGGGAUAACUUCAGGAAACUGGGGCUAAUACCGGAGAGGAGCGCCUGCUGCAGGGUGGGGGUUGGAAAGUUUGGGCGGUUGGGGAUGGACUCGCGGCUUAUCAGCUUGUUGGGGGGGUAGUGGCUUACCAAGGCUUUGACGGGUAGCCGGCCUGAGAGGGUGACCGGCCACAUUGGGACUGAGAUACGGCCCAGACUCCUACGGGAGGCAGCAGUGGGGAAUAUUGCACAAUGGGCGGAAGCCUGAUGCAGCAACGCCGCGUGCGGGAUGACGGCCUUCGGGUUGUAAACCGCUUUCGCCUGUGACGAAGCGUGAGUGACGGUAAUGGGUAAAGAAGCACCGGCUAACUACGUG